This 29815-nucleotide long non-coding RNA is filed under the name Gossypium barbadense (sea-island cotton). RNAcentral describes it as "long non-coding RNA (GBAR_LNC000098)". Lineage: Eukaryota; Viridiplantae; Streptophyta; Magnoliopsida; Malvales; Malvaceae. The record is from RNAcentral.
GCCCAAUUGAACUCACAACCCAAUACAUUACCUAAAUCCCUUAACUAUUCCUAAAUACUAACCCAAACCCCAAAUACAUUUUAAACCCAUCAGCCCACUUAUAUCAAACCCAAUACAAUAAACCCAAAACCCAAUAACCCUUAGCCCAACCAGAAAAGAACAAACCCUAGCUCCUACUUGCCCCCUCACUCAGCGCCGCAACUACCCUCCCCACCUUCUGACACCACGCCACCGACGUCAGCCCACCGGCCACCAACUCUGCAGCACUGUUCAACCACCCUGCAAGCAGAAUGACAAGACAUAAAUUAUAAAGAAACUUUACAGAGGGUUAUAAAAAACCGAAUGAAAAUUGUAAUAGGGGGAAUUUUGCUAUCAAUACAAAAAGGGAAUUUUUUGUUUUCAUCAAUACUAGCAGAUUAAAACCAAAAGCAGUGGUCUCAAUAAGAUAAAAGUAAGAAAAAAGCAUUGAGCACAAACCCAAAAUCUCAGAAAACCGAAACUGAAAGCUAAAGGUAACUUCUUUUCUUUUUUCUUUUUAGCCGAAUCCUCCAUCUAUAUUCGUAUACACAUAAAUAUAUAAUAAAUAGGAAAUGAACAGUACUUCUUAAAAAGGUAAAAAAAGGAAAAGAAAAAAAGGGGAAGUUUUCAUACCUCCGACCACUGUGCAUGGCGGUCGCCGGCGACGGAAGCGCGGUGGGGCAAUGACCGGACUAGGACCGGCGCUGGAGCCCCAGCAGAGAAAAAAUGAGCUCCAUUUUCUUUUUUUUUUCUUCAACACGCACAAAUGACUGAUUUUUCAAAAAAAUUUAACUUUUAUAGGGGUCCGGAACGGCGUCAUUUUAGGCCCUGCACUUGAGCACUGAAACGACGUCAUUUCACUUGGCCCGACCAGAUUCGACCCGAACCCGCUUCAGGAUCCACGUGUUUUUAACUCAAGGGGCUAUUUGCGCAAUCGAUCCUUCCGCAUUUUUGGUAUUUUAAAUCAAGUUUAUAUGUAUUUAUAAAUUGGCCCUAAAAUUUAAUCUGGUUUGUAAAUUAAUCCCUCCUACUGCGCAGCGCUUUGAAAAAUUCGUAAUAUUGCGUUUUUGAUCCUCCUUAGUGUUGCCCGUGUUCAAAUAGGGCCUUUCUCAUUAUUUUCUUUUUAAAUCUGCCCCACAACUUUAUUUUUAAUUUAAUUUUAGUCAUUUUUUCGUUUAUUUUCAUUUCUUCGUUAAAUAUUCUUGUUUUUUUUAUAUAUUAUUAUUAUUAUUAUUAUUAUUAUUAUGAUAUGUUAGUGUAUACUCUUAUUAUAUGCAUAUAUAUACAUGUAUUUGUAUUUAGUAUUUUUUUAUCCACUUUAUUGUAAUAUUUUAUUAAUGCUUUUAUAUUUCAAUAAUAUUAUUAUUAUCAUUAUUAUUAUCAAUAUUUGUAUAUGGUUUUAGUAUAUAGGUAUAUAUAUAUUUUUACGUAUAGGUUAGUUUUUAUUAUUUUAUUUCAAUAUCUUUUUUUUUGUAUUUGUUGUCGUAUUUCAAUAUUACCCUUAUUAUUAUUAUUAUUAUUAUAUAAUGUUUAUUUUUGUUUAUGUAUUUAGAUUUAAAUAUGUAUUAUUCUUACUAUAUUGUAUUGUCAUUUUUUUGUAUUUUAAUACUAUUACUAUUAUAAUUAUUAUUGUUAAUAUAGUGAAUGGUUUUUGUCAUAUGUGUAUAUAUUUUUAUGUCAUCCUUCUUAUUAUCAUUAACCUUAGUAUAUGUCUUUUUAUAUAUCUUUAAUAUAUAUAUAUAAGUACAUAUUCAUGCAAUAGUGUAAUAGUUUUCUUCAACGUCAUUAUUUCCAAUAUAUAUAUUUUAUGUAAAUAUUUUAGUGUCGUAUUAUAUAUGUAUUUUUUUAUGUAUUGCGUGUGCGUACUUUUAAUAUUGUAUUUCUACAUUUCAUACGAAUACUAUAUUACAUUUUUACAUAUUAUAUCGUGUAUAUAUAUUUUUCAUAUAUAUUAUGUACAUACGUUUUCAAUAUUCAUUUUAUACGUAUAUAUGUAUAUAUUAUGUAUAUACUUUAACAUUACUAGUUACUUAUAUAUGUUUUUAUCACUUCAUGUAUAUUUCAAAUAGUAUAUAUAUAGUAUAUUUCUAACAUUAUUACUAAUUAUAUUUAUAUAUGUAUAAGUAUAUAUUAUGUACAUACUUUUAAUGUCAUUUUACAUAUGUAUAUUCAUCAUGUUCUCGUAUUUGAUAUUAUAAUUAUAUUUAAUCUUGCAUGCAUUGUUAGAGUUUUUAAUAUUAUUGUCUUAUUUGUUAUUUGCUCCAAUAUAUUUCUAGUUCUUCCAUUUAUUUUUUUUAUUUCAUCUCAAUUUUUCUUUGCAUUACUUCGAAGAUCAUAUUCUUGUUUCCUAAUUAAUAAUCAAGGUAACGAACCGAUUUAACACAAAGUCACUGAUUUCAUCGCUAUGUUGGGUGAACAUCAAUCGAUUCGUGUUAAAACGGUACGUCCUUCUCAAAAAAAAUCAAAAAGAUUGAAAAUUCUUGUCUUUUCAAACGAAUCACGAUUAAAUCUUAUAUUGAACUCGUAUUUUUGAAAAUCAAGACAACAUGUGUUUACAAGAUACCAAUUUUGGGCGUCGCGAGGGUGCUAAUACCUUCCUCGCGCGUAACCGACUCCCGAACCCUAAUUUUUCUCUGGAUUUUAACGUAGAACUAAACUCAGCCUUUAAUUUGUUUUGAUAAGAGAUCUAAUAGGUGUCCAAUCACACCUAGGAAAAAGGAUCGGUGGCGACUCCUUGUUUAUUUCAAAAAACCAAACGUCAAAUUUCAAAUUUUUAAUAAAUCGCCACAAUUAGCGACCAAGCUAAGCCAAAAUUUUUACGUCGCUACAGCUGGCGACUCCAGUAGGGAUCCGCAUUUUUGAGAGUCAAGUCGAAUUAAACGCAUGUUGUCAAAAUUUUCAAAAUUCCUUGUUCAAAUUAAUAUUUAGUUGUGAUCCUAAAAUUGUGUUUUUGAAAAAUCAUGCAUUUGCAUUGUGUUGUAUAUAUUCUUCUAACUUGUUUUGUCCGGUUGUUUUAAAGCUUUAAAUUCUUAUGGUUUUAGUUUUGGUUUAGUUUUUAAAUAAAACGUAAAGGUUUGUGAGUUUCUCCCCACACACCGUGCACGUACAUUCUUGCAUAACAUGAGCUCUAUACCCGGGCUCCGUCCGUUUAAGUAAAAGUAAACGCUAUGCCUUCGUGAGUUAACUCGUCCCUCCGCAUAGGCUAGUGAAUACUUUCGGGUUACAUAUGACUUAUGCUUUCAUGAGUUAACUUGUCCCUCCGCAUAGGCAUAAGUAAAUGUAAUCCCUCGAAUUGAACUCGUGAGCCUGUGAUGGGUUACGAUCAAGGCUUCGUACUAAUCUUAGUAGAUGAUAGUACGGACAAUUCGAGUACCUAUCUAGAACCGAAACCGCAUAUAGUGAACCGUACGAGCCACCUAGUUAGAGCCAUGCCGAACCUCCGCCCAUUAAUAGUCAUUGAAAUAAGUACAUGGGAGAAACGCCUCUUCCCUUUUAUUUCUUUGACACUUACACUUUCUAUUUUGAUUUUCCAUAAUUCAUGUUUAUUGUACUAAUGAAGAUAUUUGUCUGUGUUCUUAUUUUGCAUCAUGCAUUAUAGGCAUCAUAUUAGGAAGGUGUUGACUAGAGAUUGUUUUCCAAAAAAUGGGUUUCUAAUGGAAGAGUCAAUUAUACAAAGAACCGAGAAGAAUGCCGUGGUUCAGGAUUGGUCUAUAAAAACUCAGAAAGAAAAAGGGGAUAGUUUAGUGGAGGGAUGUAUUGCCAAUCUGCCCAAGCAUGUAAUCGUGAAUGUUCGCCAGAAUAACCUUAAAGAUUUGGUUCGGGUUUGGAAUCAGUGAGAUUCGGACACUAGGGGUAUCUUCACCGAGAGAUAUGGAGACAUAGCCAAUUUAAUUACCGUCAACAUAGACGAACGAUUGAUCCAAGCCAUGGUCAGAUUUUGGGAUCCGGCUUAUCAAUGUUUUACCUUCAAUCAAGAAGAUAUGACUCCGACUAUAGAGGAGUACGUUGCUUUGCUUCGUGUUGAAAAUGCGCAAUUCUAUAAAGUAUAUGUGAAGGAGCCUAAGCCAAUAACCUUUAAGAAGAAGUUAGUAAGAUUGACAGACAUGACUGACGCAUGGGUCAAAAAACAGAUAAAGAAGAAGAAUGAAACCAUUUGCAUUCCAUGGUCUUCCCUACGAGAAUUGGUUCUGAACUAUCCUGACAUGUUGAAAAGGGUAAAUCUGUUCGCUUUGGCUAUUUACGGCUUGAUCAUCUUCCCGAAAGUCCUUGGACACAUAGAAGUUGCGGUGGUGGAUUUUUUAAAAAAAUUAAAACAAGGAAUCAACCCUGUCUCAACUAUCCUAGUCGAGACCUUCAGAUCCUUAAACAAUUGUAGGAAAAUAGGGAAAUGACGCUUUAUCGGAUGCGCGCAGUUACUAAAUAUCUGGAUUUUGAGUCACUUCUGGAAAGUAGAGCGCACACCGUUCCAUAUGUUUUCAAAAACAUUUGCCCCGUUGGAAGCUUAUCUCAAGAAAGAAUGGCCAAAGGAAGUCAUUGAACAGCAUUGGGUCUCAGUUUUUCAGAACCUUCACGCCAAGGAUAUAACGUGGAGAGCACUGUGGAUCCGCGCUUCGGUUCUAUUAUACAAGGUUAGAAAUCAAGAUUGGGUACCACUACUCGGGUUAUGGGGAAGAGUUGGAUAUGCCCCGCUAUUAGUCCAAAGAUAAUUUUCUUUACGACAAUUCAUACCCGCCACUGGAGGAUUAGCACAGUCCGAGUUCGCUUUUGCGGGAGAAGGGUAUAUGAAGAGGGUUCGAGACACUGCAAAGUCUUGGAAGAAAAUUCAUUUGAUGGAAUUGGCUCUAUAUGCUGAUACCCUUACCCAAGAUUACGACAUCUGAAGGAAGCAACGGGUGAAUAGUUAGCAAAUCUCGUCAAUAAACUACACCGUCCAGAAUCCUUUCUUAGAGGAAAUGCCGUCUGAGCUAGAAAUGGUAAGACAAGAAUUUGAACAAGAAAAGGCCAAGAUGUCUCGGGACCUUAGUGCUCUUCAAGAGGAAAACUACCAAUUGAAGAUCGAUGUUCAGAUUGAAAGAUCCAGAACCGAGAAAGUGCAAAAAGAGGCUGAAGUCGUAAGAAAUGACUUAAGAGAUCUUUAUCUGGAAAAUAAGAAGUUAAGAAGCACAAUAAAGAAUAGUGGGCUGGGCAAGUCGUCGGCAGAAUGGAAGGAAGAAAUAAGCAACAUAUUAAAGGCGGGAUGGAAUUUUGGAAAGGAAAAGCGAAGAAAGAGGAGGAAAAGGCUGUGCGAGCUAUUAUGGAGCUAAGGAAGAAGAACACCGAAUAUGAAGCUAUGUCUAUCGAGGUAAUGACUAGUCGAUCUAAACGUCAAGAACUAAAAGAGAGGAUACGAUAGUUAGAAGAUAUGCUGCAAGAUCGUCAACAACAGCUAGAUACCCUCUUGAAGGCUUUGGAAGAAAAAGAUAGUCAGUAUGAUAGAGACAUUCGUGCUUACGAAGAAGGCCUUCAAGAAAAAGAAAUGCAACUUAACUUUUUGAUAAAUGAAAUUCGUGGGGUAGCCAUGCACGUGGUACAACUAUCGGAAGAAGCUGAAAUUCUCACUUGCCAAUUCCCUCCAAGUCAAAAAUCAAAUAUAUCAGAGUUCUUAGUACGAGUAAAGAAAUACGGUGAUAUAGCUAGGAAGUUUGUGUAAUGGUUGAAUCGAAAAUGGAAAAAUAUUUUGUAAUGAACUCUUUUGAUGAAUGAAAUGCCUAAAUAGGGGCUAUCUUGAAAUCAACACCCAUUUCUUGCAUAUCUUUCAUGAUUGACAUUCAUUUAUGCAUUCAUUCAUUCAUUACAUAUAUCUAUCCCAUAAUCAUUUGCUAAGGUUAGAAUCAUAUAAUUCGCAGUCACAACACUUCAAAUCUAGAAUCACGCCAUUCGUAUAGAACGCGUCGACAAGCUAGGGCAAUGGAGGCUGAAUUCAAUGAAAGAAUUGAAAGGAUGGAAAGAGUUCAGAGGGAAUUACAAGAGCAGUUGGCCAAGUCACAGCAAGAGACAAGAGACUUGAUGGUGAGGUCUCGAGAAGAAUCGCUUGAACAAAGAGACCAAAUGGCCAAGAUGAUGGAAAUGAUGUCAGCUUUAGUUAAAGAAAAGGGACCCAUGCAGAGCCCUGACAUCGAGGAACCUCGGUCAAUAGUUAAUCACAGUCAAGAUCCGCUCUAUCCCCCAGGAUUCACUUCGCCACAUGCCCACGCAACACAAAAAGGAUACACCCAAGAGGAACCCACAGACCUGAAGCAACGGGCGGUGCCACCUGUUCACACAGGGCAAGGAGUAUUCGUAUUAAACCUAGGAGCUAGUUCUGCUGAUCCACUCAUUCCAGAUUUGGACGAUCCAGCAGAAAUAGCCAAGUUGAAAAUCAUUGAUCACGAGGUUCAAGAGAAGUAUAGGAGCUUAGAAGAAAGACUUAACGCAAUAGAGGGUACUGAAGCCUUCUCUGCACUGAGUGCCAAGGAGCUCAGUUUGGUGCUCAAUCUGGUUCUGCCUCCGAAAUUUAAAGUACCAGAUUUCAAAAAAUACGAUGGCACGAGAUGUCCAAAGACGCAUCUUAUCAUGUUUUUCCGGAAAAUGUCUGGUUACGUGAAUGAAGACAAGCUAAUCAUACAUUGCUUUCAAGAUAGUCUAGUAGGAUCGGCUCUUCGGUGGUAUAACCAGCUUAGUAGGGAAAAAAUCCGAUCCUGAACGGACUUGGCAUCAGCAUUCUGUGAGCAGUACAAGCAUGUACCAGAUAUGGUGCCUGAUCGAAUGACCCUACAAAUGAUGGAAAAGAAACCAGCAGAAACCUUUAGACAGUGCGCGUAAAGAUGGAGGGACGUCUCGGCCCAAGUGGAACCCCCACUAACAAAGACUAAGAUAACCGUUCUCUUCAUCAACACUUUAAAAGUACCAUUCUAUGACAAGCUGGUGGGAAGUGCCACAAAGGACUUUACGGAUAUUGUAAUAUCCGGUGAGCUUAUAGAGAAUGCCGUCAAGAGCGGUAGAAUAAAAGGUCAAGAAAGUUCAAGAAGGGUAGCGCCCAUGAAUAAGAAAGAACCAGAAGCCCAUAUGAUGGGAAUGGAAAAUCGUUAUACCUCUAAUCCAUAUCCAAACCAUCCCCGACCUCGAAAUUAUCCUCCUCCAAAUCAGACCCCUUACUACCAAGCACCACCUCCUUCCUACCCCGUAUACGCCAUGAACAACCAAAGGCCCGUCACCACAUUCCCAUAAAACACUCUACCCGCUCAAAGCCAACCCAGAAAUGAACCAAGACUAACAAGACCCAAUCCCGAAAGACCGCAAUUCACCCCUAUUCCUGUGUCAUAUGGGGAACUGUACCCGAAACUCCUGAAGAAACAAUUAAUAUCUCCCCAUUACAUGGCACCCCUAAAACCUCCAUACCCGAAAUGGUACAAUCCAAAUGCUAGUUGUGCAUACUGUACAAGCCCAAUUUUGGGCCCAAAUAAACAUAACCCAACUAUAAACCCAAAACUUAGCCCAAAACACUAACCCAACCCAAAAAAAUCAAAAAAAUAAAAACCCUAAUCCCACCUACUCCACAACCUUGGCCACCUACUCUACCACCCUUGUUGGCCACCCACAUUGGCCACCUAAACCACCCACCUUGGCCACCUAAACCACCCCAACCACUCCACUUGCUUACAAAAAAAUUAUUGGUAAAAUUUGGCUAUAAAAGCCAUUCAAGACUAUGUUAGAGAGAGAGGUUUUUUUUGUUUUUUGGAGGUUUUUUUUUGUUUUUUUGGAAAGAAGGUUGGUUUUUGUUUUUUGGAAAGGCUAGUUCUUGGAGAUUAAUCAAAGAUCAAAGCAAAAGAGGUUUCUUUUGUCUAUUCUCAUCUUAAGUUCUUUGUUUGUUUAUUGUUUUCCUUUCAAUUUUAUUUUGUUUUUUUAUACGAAAGUAAAAAUAAAAGUAAGAAGCUUACCCUUAUUUUCAUUACCGAAAAAGGUUUUUUUUUUAGGUUCGGCCGCCGUGUACGGUGGCGCCGAUGGCGGCCCGUGGGGGUCCGUGACCGAAGCAAAGCUGGACCAAUGGCCGGAUUUAGAAAAGAGGGAGAAAGAGAGUUGAGAGCUUUGUUUUAUUUUUUAUUUUAUUUUAUUAUUUUUACUAUUAUUUAUAUUAUUAUUAUUUCUCAUGUAUAUAUUAUUAUUUAUAUUAUUAUUAUAUUAUAUAUGCCCUCUCCAUAUUUAUUUAUAUUAUUACUAUCAUUAUGGUUACUUCUAUUAUUUUUUAUUUCUGACUACUAUUAUUAUAUAUAUAUAUAUGUAUUAUUGUUUGUAUUAGUAUUAUUAUUAUCACCCCUAUUGUUAUUACUUUACUUUUGUAUUCUAAUAUAUUAUUAAUAUUACUCAUAUUUUCAUUAUUUUUGCUAUUACUAUUAUUAUUAUUAUAUAUUAGUGUAUAUUUUUAUGUGUAUAUAUAUAUUUAUAUAUAGUAUUAUUUUUUAUUACUUUAAUUUAAUAUUUUUAUUAUAUUUGCUUUUUGUAUUUCUCUAUUUAUUAUUAUUAUAUAGUAGUGUGUAUUUCUAUUAUAUACAUAUAUAUAUAUAUUUAUAUAUAGUAUUAUUAUUUAGUUUACUUUAAUAUUAUUCUUAUUAUCAUUAUAUCCAACCCAAUAAUAAUUCUUUCAUAAAAGUAAUAUAAAAGUAAUAUUCCGUAUUUGGUAAUUCGAGACAAUCGUGCCCUAACUUACUGAGUUUCGAUUUUCUCCUUUAACCUAAAUAACGGAAUACUCUUUUAAAUCGCGACAUGAGUUUUGAAAAAUGGUUAUUCUCGGAGAUACGAGGUGUUGUGCCCUAACUUACUGGGUAUGGCAUUUUGUUACCUCGAAAUAAGAUUUUUGCAAGUAAAGGCAAUAUUCGGUGUUUGGGAAUUCGAGGGAACGUGCCCUAACUUACUGGGUUUCGAUUUUCCUCGUUCACCUUAACUAACUGAAUAACCUUUUGAAAUACACGAACUUUUAUAUAAAAGGCAAGCUCGCUCUCGAAAAUUCAAGAUGUCGUGUCCUAACUUACUGGAUGUGACAUUUUAUAUUGUGAGACGAGAAGGUCCUUAACAUUUGAGCAUUUUCUUUACAAAGAGGGAUCGUAUUUUAAAUUCUUUCAAGUUUUCAAAUUUUCGACACUAAGACACUAAUUAAUCAACUAGGUACCAAUUUUGGGCGUAUCGAGGGUGCUAAUCCUUCCUCGUGCGUAACCGACUCCCGAACUCAUUUUCUGAUUUUCGUAGACCAAAAAUUAUCGUUUUAGUAAAUCUUAACUUUUAUUAAAAUGAUUAAUUUAAGGUGAUCCGAUCACACCUCAUCAAAAAAGAUUGGUGGCGACUCCUCUAUUCGUUUUCAUUUCCAAAAAUCUAAGUCGAUUCCCGUUUUUUUCAAAAAAAAUGGUUACGACAGCUUGGCGACUCCACUGGGGACUUUUAUAAGAGAGUCAAGCCACAAGUUGAUUAACUUUUGUCUUUUUUCGAAAAUUGAGAAUUUUGUUUUGAUAUACGAUCUCUUCAUUGCGUUUCACCCGUUUUUCGUACUAUUUUCAUCAUUUUAUUCCAAUUUUCUUUAAUCGUUUCAAGUUUUUAUGCAUAUAUCUUCUUGCAUUGCAUUGCAUGACCGUUGUGGUCACACCCUUAAGUGGGAGUGAGAAACUACGCCUUCGUGAGGUUUUCACCUCCGUGCAAGAUAGUGGAUCACUUUCGGAAUACAUCCGUACCUAUGGUUUCGUGAGAUUUUCAUCUCCGUGUAGCCAUAGGAAAAUGUAUUCUCCUGAAUUGAACUCGAUUCAAAUGAGCCUAUAAUGGGUGAGGAUCGAGGAAUAUGCUGGUUCAGGUACCCUUACUCUAGAACCAAACCACAUAUAGAGAGACCUAGGAGCCCACCCUAGGUAGAGCCACUUCGAACCCCUAGUGGUCACCUGAAUUGCUUUAUUUGUUAUUUAUUUAUCCCGCACUAACGUGUUUUAUUUUUGUUUUGUUUAUAAUUGCAUUACAUUACAUCAUCCUAGGAAGGAGGUGUUGAUUCAUAUUUGAUUGCUAAAUAGAACAGUUUGUCAUAAGAAAAUGAAUUUUUUGAUAAAGUGGAUUAUAAUACGGUUGUCUAAAUAUGAUCCAAGUGAGCACAUGAAAGAAGUCUGAUAGCCCGUGAAGAAAUACAAGACUUCGCUUCAUUGCCUGAAGACAGAAACUGACAAAGAUUAUUCGAGAGCCGUCACAUCUUGACCUUCUUAAAGGAGCUGACAAGUAUCACAGUAAUAAGUGAGCAACGAGUCGCAGCCUGGAUCGAGCAAAAAAAGGAGUUAAUAUAGACAUCUCUUGGAGAAUUCGUCAGACUCGACCAUAAGAUCAUGAUAUGAAGAGGAAGAUAGGUGUCUUCUCUUGGAAUACAAGAGAAAACCCGUAUAUGUAGUCCGUUUUAUGUAAAAGAAUUUGCUUUCUAGAAAAGUUGUUCUAAUGAAACUAAAUUUAGAAUCAAUGCCUUCCUUUUUUUUUGUGUUCAUGCAUUUGCAUUACAUUACAUCAAAGAAAAGAAUGUGUUGAUUUGAAAUUCAAUUCCUAAAUAGAAUAGUUUGUCAUAAGGAAACAAAUUUCUUGAUAAAGUAGAUUAUAGUGCGAUCGCCUGAAUAUAGUCCAAGUAAACACGAUGAGAGAAAGCUGGUAGUUUACGGAGGAAUACAUGAUGUAAUUGCCAGAGAUUCAAGCCAACAAAGGCAUGACGAGAGAAAGCUGGAAGUUCACGAAGGAAUACAUGACUUGAUUUAAUUGCCAACGAAGAUUAUCCAAGAGCCGCUACUUUUGAUGAGUAUCAUGGAGAUAAGUGAGCAAGAGAUCGAGGCUCAGAUUAAGCAGCAAGGAACUAGUAAAGGCAUCUUUUAGAGAAUUUACAGGAUUCGACCAUGAAGAAAAGAUCAACGUUUACUUGGACUAUGAAGGGCAAUACCGCAUAUGUAAUCUAUUUUCAUGUAAAGAAAUAUGUUUUCUAGAAAAGUUAUUCUAAUGGAAUUGAAUUCAAGAUCAACAUCUUCUUUUUUUUGCAUUCAUUCCAUACAUUUGCAUUACAUUGAAACAUUUGCAUUAAACUUUCACUAAAGAACCCUGAUUAAACAAAAUUAUUUCAGUUAAUCUAGAAACCAACGAGAAUCAAGCAACCGAACACACCCACUAUACCCGCCGUAAAACCAAAGCAAUGGACCAGAGAUUAGAAAGGAUAGAACAAAUGCAAAGGGAGAUGCAAGAACAAUUACAAGCACAGAUGCAAGAGCAACUGGCUAAGAUACAGUAAGAUAUGAGGGACCAUAUGUUGGAGUCCCAGAAAAGCAUGAUGGACCAAUUAACUCGUCUAUUAGCUGGUGGAUUAAAAAAAGGGAAAAGCCCUUUGAUCAAUGCGGGAGAAGAUAAUGAAGAUCCUACCUACCCUCCGGGUUUUGCCCCAGCGGACGUUCAAACACAACCUGAUGUAUACCCAAGAAGGCCAUCAGUCACAAUCAGGCCUCAACCAUCUCAAGCCGGUGUCUCGGCACAGAUAAAUUAUCAGACUGGUUCAGGCUCUAAUCCGGGGGACAAUCCAACCAACCCUGUGGUCCUCAAUCUCGAUGAAAUGAUAGAAGCAGAAAAGACAAGGGUAGAACUCCCGAGAGAGCUUGAAGAAAGAUGUAGAUGGUUGGAAGAAAAAUUUAAAGAAAUGGAAAGCACCGACUAUCGUGGUGGAAUCGACACUAAGGAAUUAAGUUUGGUUCCAGACCUGGUACUCCCUCCCAAGUUUAAAACUCCAGAAUUUGAGAAAUACAACGGGACUAGCUGUCCCGAAGCUCACAUCACUAUGUUCUGUAGACGAAUGGCAGGCUAUGUCAAUAACGACCAACUAUUGAUCCACUGUUUCCAGGAAAGUCUAGUUGGGGCCGCUUCUAGGUGGUACAACCAACUGAGUCGUAACUAGAUCAGUUCAUGGAGGGAUUUAGCACAGGCGAAGCAGUACAGUCACGUGACAGACAUGGCUACUGAUAGAGUCACGUUACAGAACAUGGAGAAGAAACAAAAUGAGAGUUUCAAGCAAUACGCCCAAAGAUGGAGAGAGGUAGCAACGCAAGUUCAACCACCUCUUCUGGAGAAAGAAACGACCAUGCUCUUUAUCAAUACGCUGAAGGCUCCAUUCAUUAACCACAUGCUAGGAAGCGCUACUAAAAGCUUCUCAGACAUAGUAAUGUUUGGAGAAAUGAUAGAGAACGCGAUAAGAUGUGGAAGGAUUGAAGCAGGGGAAAGUGCUAAGAGAUCAGCCCCGAGAAGGAAAGAGAAUGAUGUGAACAACACGAGUAUGUAUAAUAAGCCAGUCACUACGAGCCAACCAAAGGUGGUAACUACUAGCCAUCAAGGCUUCGCAAGACGAGACUUCAACCCAAUGCCUAACACGGAAAGAUUCCAGUUUACGCCCAUCCCGAUGUCCUACAAGGAAUUGUACCAGAGCUUAUUCGAUGCCCAUGUAGUGUCGCCCUUCUAUCUAAAGCCAAUGCAACCCCCAUUCCCCAAAUGGUAUGACGUAAACGCCCAAUACGAAUACCAUGCAGGAGCCACAAGGCACUCGAUAGAAAACUACACCACUUUCAAGAAACUGGUUGAAAGACUCAUCAACAUGGGCAUCGUGAAAUUUGAUAAUACACCUAGUACAGAAAACCCGUUACCUAAUCAUGGGGAUAAGGGUAUAAAUUCCAUAAUUGAGAGUUCAGGGAAGGAAAUUAAGAUGAAUGUUACAGAAGUGAAUACUCCACUAAAAGAAGUAUGGAAGAAAAUGGUGGAAAAAUGGUUGGUAACAUAGAAUUUAGGGGACAGACACCAAGAAGCAAAAAGUUAUUGCGAGUUCCAUAAUCAAGAGGACCAUGAGAUUCAGAAAUGCAGCGAAUUCAGGGCUCUAGUACAAGGGUUAAUGGAUAAUAAGGAGCUGGAAUUCUUCGAGUAUGUUAGGAACCCAGAAGGAACAGACGUGUGUGCUUCAGAGGAAGGGUCGACGAGAAAUGCUUGUAAAAUCAACCACCCAUUGGUUAUCAUAUCACGUCCGAGAAUAAAUGAAUCCGGGGCACGAGUUGCACCAAAUGUCGUAAUCCAAAAGCCCGUUGCUUUUCCUUAUGAAGAUAGCAAAAGGGUACCGUGGAACUAUAGCUGCAAUGUGACAUUCUCGGGAAAGGAGACCCCGAUUAAUGCAUCAGAGGAAGUUCAAGACGAAGGUUUUUAUACGCGCAGCGGAAGGCGUUAUACCUCAAAUAUAAAAGUCGAGCAGGUUAAAGAAAAAUCAUUAGCAAUUGAGAAAAAGAAAGAGAAGCUGACGAGGCCUAAACCAACUGUUAAUGAAUCAGUGACUGAGAAAGAAGCCAAGAAAUUCUUAAAAUUCCUAAAGCAUAGUGAAUAUAGUGUCGUAGAACAGUUGCACAAACAGCUAGCGCGUAUAUCAGUACUGGCCUUACUUUUAAGUUCCGAAACUCAUCGUAGCGCAUUGAUGAAAGUGCUGAAUGAAACUUAUGUUGCUAACGAUAUCUCUGUGAACAAACUAGACCGCUUAGUCAACAAUAUAAGUGCCAACAACUUCAUAUUCUUCAAUGACGAUGAGGUACCGCCAGGGGGUCGAGGAUCAACUAAAGCUUUGCAUAUCACGACACUAGGGGUAUUGAUUGACAAUGGGUCUGCAUUGAAUGUCCUACCCCUAUUUACGCUGAGUAGGUUGCCAGUGGAUAGUUCCCAUAUGAAGACAUGCCAAAAUGUAGUAAGGGCGUUUGACGGUACAGAAAGGAAAGUAAUGGGGAAGAUUGAAUUACCCCUUCAAAUCGGUCCUAACACGUACGAGGUAGAUUUCUUAGUAAUGGACAUCAAACCCUCUUACAAUUGCCUAUUGGGAAGACCAUGGAUCCACUCGGCAGGGGUAGUGCCGUCAUCAUUACAUCAGAAGCUCAAACUUAUAACGGAGGGUCGAUUGGUGACUAUAAACGCGGAGGAAGACAUCAUUGCAUUUGUUACCAGCAAUGCACCAUAUGUGAGGACAGAUGAUGAAGCCAUAGAAUAUUCUUUUCGAUCAUUGGAAUUUGUAAAUGCGACCUUUUUUGUCGAAGGAAAUAAAGUCCCGACACCCAGACUUUCCAAAACCACAAGAAUGGGACUACAACUGAUGGUUGGGAAGGGAGCCUUGCCAGGGAAAGGACUUGGAAGAAGCCUACAAGGAAGGGUCAAAGUACCUAUGCUCACGGACAAACGGGACUGCUUUGGCUUAGGAUUCAAGCCAGAUGCAAGACAAAAGAAAGAGUAACAAGAGAAGAAAUAAGAAAGGAGAAGAGCGCGAUUGAGCGGGGGAGAAAUCGAAUGGGAACCAAUGAUCUUCCCCCAUAUAUCGAAGACUUUUGUGUCUGGAGAGGUCAUUCACUCCGAGCAGAAGACAUCGGGAAAGGAAAUCUUGGAAGGAAUGAUGGAGAGUUUGGACAUCAACGCCACAUAUAAAGAUGGGACGGGGGUAGAGAAUUUGUUAAGCAUUCGCCCCUAUGAGUCGGGAUGUGUUUUGAAUAAUUGGACUGCGGAAGAGAUUCCUGUAGUCUUUAGAACUAACUCAGAGUAAUGUCUAAAACACACUUAUUGCUCUAGGCCUAGGAGUAACAAGUGUCAUUUUGUGAAAUAGGCUUAUGUUCGAAAUUGUUAUUUCAAUGAAAUGCAUCCUUUUGACUUAUUCCGUGCAAAUAUUCUUUUAUUCUUUCAUUCAUGAUCCUACCAAACAUAUCAUUGUUCUUAGAUUCUCUUGUUCUUUGCAUCUCCCUUCACACCUACAACAGGUCUCCAGAUAUCAAUGAUGCGAGUGACAUUGCUACUAAUUCAGAACCUCUUUUUGAGCGAGAUAUGUGUCUGGAGGGAUCCCAAGACUUUGAGGAUGACGGAGACUGUAACUUAUCCCCUGAUUUGUUAAGGAUGGUAGAACACGAGGAGAAACAGAUUCUACCCCACAAAGAGACCGUAGAAGUCGUAAACUUGGGAGAUGAACUAGAAAUGAGAGAAGUAAAGAUCAGAACUUGCAUCACCACAGAGACAAAACGGGACCUUAUUGAGUUACUCCAAGAGUUCAAUGAUGUCUUUGCAUGGUCAUAUCAGGAUAUGCUUGGGCUAAGUACUGACAUUGUGGUACACAGGCUCCCCAUUAAAGAAGAAUGCAAGCCAGUUCAGCAAAAGCUUCGAAGGAUGCGGCCCGAUGUUCUGUUAAAGAUAAAAGAGGAAGUCAAGAAGCAAUUUGAUGCUGGUUUCUUACAAGUAGUUAAGUACUCGGAAUGGGUAGACAACAUCGGCCCCGUCCCUAAAAAAGAUGGAAAUGUACGGAUGUGUGUAAACUACAGAGACUUAAACAAGGCCAGCCCAAAAGAUAAUUUCCCGUUGCCUCAUAUCGACACCUUAGUGGACAACACAGCAGGUUACUCACUUUUCUCCUUCAUGGAUGGUUUCUCAGGGUACAAUCAGAUCAAGAUACAUCCUGAAGACAUGAAUAAAACCACAUUUGUGACCAUGUGGCGAACCUUUUGCUAUAAAGUAAUGCCGUUCGGAUUGAAAAAUACGGGAGCAACAUAUCAGAGAGCCAUGGUAACCCUAUUUCAUGAUAUGAUGCAUAAAGAAAUUGAAGUCUACGUCGACGACAUGAUCGCCAAAUCUCGAACUGAAGAAGAGCAUGUGCAAGUCUUGAGGAAAUUAUUUUUGAGGUUGAGAAAAUUCCAGUUGAAACUCAAUCCCGCAAAAUGUACCUUCGGAGCCAGGUCAGGUAAACUGCUAGGAUUCGUGGUCAGUGGAAAAGGGAUUGGGAUUGACCCAGAUAAAGUCAAAGCCAUACAAGAGUUACAUCCACCACGUACUCAGAAAGAAGUUCGAGGAUUCCUAGGAAGACUAAAUUACAUCGCUCGGUUUACUUCACAACUAACCGAGAAAUGUAACCCCAUAUUCCGUCUCCCUAAGAAACACAACCCUGGUGGUUGGGACGAAAAAUGCCAGAAGACUUUCGAAAAAGUUAAGAAAUAUUUGUCUAAUGCCCCAGUGUUGACACCACCUAAUCCAGAUAAGCCACUGAUACUGUAUUUGACGGUAUUUGAAAAUUCUAUGGGAUGCGUGCUUGGCCAACACGAUGAAUCGGUAAGGAAAGAAAAAGUGAUAUAUUACCUCAGUAAAAAGUUUACUGAGUGUGAGACGAGAUACUCGUUCAUUGAAAAGUUGUGCUGUGCCUUGAUCUGGACAACCCGAAGACUGAGACAAUACAUGUUGUAUCACACAACUUGGCUAAUCUCUAGAAUGGACCCUCUGAAAUACUUGAUGGAGUCGACUGCCUUAAACGGGAGAAUGGCCCGAUGGCAAAUUCUACUUUCUAAAUUCGAUAUAGCCUAUGUGAACCAAAGGGCCGUAAAAGGAAGUGCGAUAGCAGAUUUCCUAGCCAGCAGAGCCCUAGAGGACUACGAGCCUCUGAACUUAGAUUUCCCAAAUGAAGAUCUAAUGUGCAUAACAACCGCAGAAGAAAACCCUCAAGAAAGUCACCCUUGGAAGCUAAACUUUGACGGAGCAUCAAAUGCCGUGGGUAACGGAAUCGGGGCAGUUCUGGUGUCCCCGAAUAGAGAUCAUUAUCCAUUCACUAGUAAAUUGGAUUUUGACUGCAUGAACAAUAUGGCAGAAUACGAAACAUGCAUCAUGGGAAUACGUGCAGCCAUAGAACGUAAAAUCAAGGUGUUAGAGGUAUAUGGAGAUUUUGUCCUAGUGAUUUAUCAACUCAAAGGUGAAUGGGAGACAAGAGACCCCAAAUUGAUCAAUUACCGGAGGUUGAUCCUUGAGUUAAUUAAAGAGUUUGAUAAUAUUGUCUUCUACUACCUCCCACGAGAAGAAAAUCAGAUGGCUGACGCCCUAGCAAAUUUAGCUUCUAUGAUUAAGGUGAACCAAUCAGAGGAUGUGAAACCAAUCCAAAUGAGCAUUUACGAGGCCCCGGCUCAUUGUUACAACCUGGAAGAAGAAGAGGAAAAUGAUGAUCACCCUUGGUACCAUGAUAUCCUACGAUAUGUGAAGAAUCGUGAGUACCCCCACCAAGCUACUGAGAACGACAAGAGAACGUUGAGAAGACUGGCCAGUGACUAUGUCUUAGAUGGGGAGAUCCUAUACAAAAGAAGGAAGGAUCAGGUACUAUUAAGAUGUGUAGACGCCAUUGAGGCUAAGAAAAUCAUGGAAGAAGUCCAUGAGGGCGUCUGUGGGACACACGCUAAUGGUUUUACAAUGGCCAGGCAAAUUAUGAGGUUCGGUUAUUAUUGGUCCACCAUGGAAGGAGACUGUAUUAACUACGCCAAAAGAUGUCAUAAGUGCCAAAUCUAUGGAGACAAGAUUAAUGUACCUCCCUCACCUCUGCAUGUCAUGACUUCGCCAUGGCCUUUCUCGAUGUGGGGCAUGGAUGUGAGUGGGCCAAUUUCGCCAAAAGCUUCAAAUGGGCAUCGUUUCAUCUUUGUGGUCAUCGAUUAUUUCACUAAAUGGGUGGAAGCCGCUUCAUAUGCCAAUGUCACUAAAUCAGCAGUUAGCAAGUUCCUGAAAAAGGAAAUCAUCUGUCGAUAUGGAAUGCCAGAAAGGAUCAUAUCUGAUAACGUAUUGAAUUUGAACAAUAACACGAUAGCGAAUGUCUGCAGUCAGUUCAAGAUCAGACACUACAACUCGUCAUCGUAUCGCCCGAAGAUGAACGGUGCAGUCGAAGCAGCCAAUAAGAACAUCAAGAAGAUUGUAGGAAAGAUGACAGAAACUUAUAAAGAUUGGUAUGAGAAGCUACCAUUCGCCCUCUAUGCUUAUCGAACGUCUAUCAGAACUUCUACUGGGGCAACGCCUUUCUCUUUAGUCUAUGGAAUGGAGGCAGUUUUACCUAUCGAAGGGAAUGUGAGCACAGUGGGAGAGGACAAACGACAAAGUAGAAGAUGGGUUUCUGAAAUAAGAACACCUCUGGAGAAAAUCUGGGAGGUGCUAGUUGAAAAAGGGUUGCUCUGUCAUCUUAACAGAGUAUUUGAGGGAAGGAAUACAAAAGAUCAAAGUUUUUGCGAAUUCCAUGGUAUUGAGGGGCACGACAUUCAAACUUGCCAAGAGUUCAGGAGAUUACUACAAAAUAUGAUGGACAAUAAAGAGAUUGGGAUCUUUUAUAAAGGCGAAGAGGCCAAUAGAGGAGAAAUAUGCGCCUCUGAACAUCAACCGUCAGGUUUCCCAUAUAGCGUCAACCGACCGUUAAUAAUUUAUUAUAACGCGAAGAAGGAGUCGGUGAAACCAAAAGUGAUAAUCGAGGUACCAUCUCCUUUCCCCUACAAGGACGAUAAAGCAGUACCAUGAAAAUAUGACGUCAAUAUCGUCACACUUGAAGAUGAAAAAACCAAACCUAUGACUGGAAGUGUUGGGGAAGUAGGUCAUUUCACUCGUAGUGGAAGAUGUUAUUCGAAAGAGGUCGAACCAGUGAUGAAGAACAGUGACUUGAAACAGAAAGAAAAAGCACCAAUGCGUGCGACCGAAGAUGAGUAUAAAACUAUGCCUGAGCAAGAAGCUAAAAAGCUUGUGAACGAGGAUGAAGCACAGGAAUUCUUAAAAUUUAUUAAGCACAGUGAGUACAACGUGGUGAAACAAUUGAGUAAGCAGCCAGCACGAAUUUUGGUAUUAUCUCUGCUGUUAAAUUUAGAACCGCACCAGAACGCCUUGUUAAAGGUGUUGAAUCAAGCUUACGUGGCAAACAAUAUAUUCGUUGAGAAGCUUGACAGAUGAGUGAAUAACCUAAACACAGAUAAUUUCAUUUCUUUUAGUGAUGAUGAAAUACCGCCCAAUGGUAGAGGCUCAGUGAAAGCAUUGCAUAUCACAACCCGUUGUAAGGGCUAUAUAAUACCGAACGUGCUCAUCGACAAUGGAUCGGCACUCAAUGUCAUGCCUUUGGCCACACUUUCCAAGAUUCCGAUGGAUUUGUCCUAUCUAAGGCCCUGCUAUUCUACAGUAAGGGCAUUCGAUGGAACAAGAUGAGAAGUCAUGGGAAAAAUCGAGAUCCCUCUAGAAGAGGGUCCCUAUAUAUACGACGUUGAGUUUCAAUUCAUGGACAUUACACCAUCAUACAAUUGUCUCUUGGGAAGACCUUGGAUCCAUUCUGCUGGAGCAGUCCCAUCAUCCCUCCAUCAAAAGGUGAAAUUCAUCAUGGAUGGCUGUUUGGUCAUCGUCGAGGGAAAAGAAGAUAUUGUAGCAUCUAUUUCUACCGAUGCACCAUACAUUGAAGUGAGUAAAGAUGCUUUAGAAUGUUCUUUCCGAUCCUUUGAAUUUGUCAAUGCCACAUUCGUCGCUGAGGGAAACAGAAUUCCCACGCCAAAACUGUCAAGAAAUACCAGGAUGGGUGUCAAGCUGACUGUAGGAAGGGGAGCUCGAGCGAGAAAAGGUUUAGGGAGAUAUCUGCAAGGAAUAGUCAGGGCUCUAAAGCUAGUACACCACAAGGCCCGAUACGAUUUGGGGUUCCAGCCAGACAUACGUCAAAGAAGAAAAAAAUGGAAGAAGGACCAAUAAAGAAGGACCGCAAGAACCUUAGGCCGAGAAUUGGAAUGGAAGCCAAUAACGUACCCUCCUUUGUCAAAAACAUUUACAUCUGCUGGGAUGAUAUACCUCGGACAGGAUAAUACACGAAGCACGCUGUUAUUAAUUGAAAGGGGUCUUCAGAAUGUCAGUAUAAAUGUCAUUGACAAAGGAAGUGGGGCAAUUAAAGAUGUUUCAAUGAUACGCCCUUUGUCCUCCUGGUUUCAUGUUGAACAAUCAGACUGCCGAGGACCUUCUUGUAGUUUAUAAGUCUUCAGAGUAAUGCUCAAACAUUAACCCUCUAUUGUGUUCUUAGAUAUAAUAGAAUUCUUUUAUAAGAGCUUGCAUUCACUUUUUAUCAUUUAAAUGAAUAUCAAUGAAGAUGCAUUUUGUCACGAUCUUUCGCAUUAUCACUAAUUUCAUGAUCAUCUUUUCAUUUCAUAGCCUAUUUGUACAUUUGCCUCAUACCAUGCCAUAACAUUUCGUUUGUUGGUUCCAAUACUGGGAUGCCCCUCUAUAGUUUCCUUUUCUAUUCAACUUUCAGGUGCUUAGAUAUCAAUAGCAUGAACAAACCCGUUACGAUUCCUGAAAUUGAUUUUGAGAAAGCUAUUUGUUUAGGAGAAUUUGAAGUCGAAGAAAAUGCUGAAGACUAUGUCUCGUCUCUUGACUUGCUAAGAAUGGUGAAGCAAGAGGAUAAACAGAUUUUGCCUCAUCAAGAAUUUGUUGAAACAAUAAACUUGGGAACUGAAGAAAAGAAGCAAGAAGUGAAGAUUGGGACCUCUAUUUCAGAGGACACCAGGCAUAAUUUGAUUGCUUUUCUCCUCGAGGACAAAAAUGUAUUCGCAUGGUCAUAUCAGGAAAUGCCAGGAUUGGAUAAAAAUGUAGUGGUCCAUAAGCCUCCAUUAAAGCCAGAAUGCAAACCCAUUCAACAAAAGCUACGACGGAUGAGACCCGAGAUGUUAUUGAAAAUAAAAAAGGAAGUCAAGAAGCAAUUCAAUGCUGGCUUCCUACAAGCAUCCAAAUAUCCAGAAUGGGUGGCUAACAUAGUCCUGGUACCAAAGGAAGAUGGCAAAGUACGAAUAUGUGUGGAUUAUCGUGACCUGAAUCGAGCAAGUCCUAAAGAUAAUUUUCCCUUACCACAUAUUGAUACGUUGGUGGAUAACACAGCAAAGCAUUCAUUGUUUUCUUUCAUGGAUGGAUUCUCGGGGUAUAAUCAGAUCAAUAUGGCCCCUGAGGAUAUUGAGAAAACUACUUUCAUAACAAUGUGGGGAACAUUCUGCUACAAGGUGAUGCCGUUCAGAUUAAAGAAUGCCGGGGCAACAUAUCAGAGGGCUAUGGUAACAUUAUUCCAUGACAUGAUGCAUAAAGAAAUAGAGGUCUACGUCGACGAUAUGAUUGCUAAAUCCCGAGGGGAAGAAGAGCAUGUAGCGAACCUGAAGAAGUUGUUCGACAGACUGAGAAAGUUUCAGCUAAAGCUCAAUCCGGCCAAAUGUACAUUUAGGGUUACCUCGGGAAAGUUGCUAGGCUUCAUUGUCAGUGAAAGAGGUAUUGAGGUUGAUCCAGAUAAAAUAAAAGCCAUUCAAGAGUUACUACCCCUGUGCUCGCAAAAGGAAGUUAGAGGAUUUUUAGGGAGAUUAAACUACAUCGUCCGAUUUAUCACUCAACUUACCAACCAAUGCGAACCAAUCUUUCGACUCCUUCGAAAACAUAAUCCCGGAUAAUGGAAUGAGGAAUGCCAAGUGGCUUUUGACAAGAUAAAACGGUAUUUGUCUAAUCCCCCGGUACUAGUACCGCCAAUUCCAGGCAGACCAUUAAUUUUGCAUCUGACAGUGUUCGAAAAUUCAAUGGGUUGUGUAUUGGGGCAACAUGACGAGUCAGGAAAGAAAGAAAAUGUGAUUUACUACCUCAACAAAAAGUUCACUGAAUAUGAGGCAAAGUAUUCGUCCAUAGAAAAAUACUGUUGCGCUCUGGUUUGUGUAGCUCGGAGACUCAGGCAAUAUAUGUUGUAUCAUACGACAUGGCUAAUUUUAAAGUUAGACCCAAUAAAGUACAUGAUGGAAUCACCUGCACUCUCAGGAAGAAUGUCACGAUGGCAGAUCCUUUAUUCGGAAUACGACAUUGCCUAUGUAAGUCAGAAGUCGAUAAAAGGGAGCGCAAUAGCUGACUUCUUAGCAACUCGAAUAAAAGGGAAUACGAGCCAUUGAGAUUUGAUUUCCCAGAUGAAGACUUGAUGUUCAUUACAAAAAAAAGAAUGUGAGUCAUCAAAAGAAAAGUCAUGGAAGAUGAGCUUUGAUGGUGCAUCGAAUGCAUUGGGGCAUGGGAUUGGAGUAGUCUUAGUAUCAUCAGAAGGGAACCAUUAUCCGUUCACUGCCAGGCUAAAUUUCUUCUGCACCAAUAACAUAGCGGAAUAUGAGGCCUGUAUCAUGGGACUUCGUGCAGCAAUUGAAUGAAACAUAUAAACUUUAGAGGUAUACGGAGACUAAGCAUUGGUGAUUUAUCAGAUCCGUGGAGAUUGGGAAGUAAGGGAUUCAAAAUUAGUCAAAUACAGUGAUCUCGUGGCAGGGUUGAUUAAAGAAUUCAAAGAAAUAACUUUUAAUUACCUCCCACAAGAAGAAAACCAGUUAGCUGAUACCCUGGCCACUUUGGCUUCAAUGUUUAAAGCAAACAGAGAAACAGAAAUAAUGCCUCUUCAAAUGAGCAUAUAUGAAGUCCCUGCACAUUGUUUCAGCAUUGAAAAAGAGCCAGACGGGCGGCCGUGGUUUCAUGAUAUCUUAGAAUACAUCAAAAAUCAAAGGUAUCCCGAGCAAGCAAAUGAGAACGACAAAAGAAUAAUUAGAAGAAUGGCAACGAGAUUUGUUCUUGAUGGGGAUAUCCUGUAUAAAAGAGGAAAAAAUCAAGUGCUCUUGAGAUGCGUGGAUGCUGUUGAAGCUAGAAAAAUACUUGAAGAUGUCCAUGAGGGAAUCUGUGGGACACAUGCCAAUGGUUUCACUAUGGCCAGGAAGAUUAUGAGACUAGGUUGUUACUGGCUGACGAUGGAAAGCGACUGCAUUAGUUUUACAAGAAAAUGCCACAAAUGUCAAAUUUAUGGCGAUAGGAUUCAUGUAGCCCCUUCGCCCCUUCAUGUCAUGACUUCUCCGUGGCCUUUUUCUAUGUGAGGCAUGGACGUUAUAGGGCUAAUCUCCCUAAAAGCUUCUAAUGGACACCGAUUCAUUUUUGUGGUCAUUGAUUACUUCACAAAAUGAAUAGAAGCCGCUUCGCUUGCCAAUGUGACGAAGACUACAGUUUGUAGGUUUUUGAAAAAGGAAAUCAUUUGUCGAUAUGAUUUACCUGAAAGAAUCAUUUCAGAUAACGCCAUGAAUCUGAACAACAAGAUGAUGAAGGAGGUGUGUGAACAAUUCCAAAUAAAGCAUCAUAACUCAUCACCCUAUCGCCUGAAAAUAAAUGGGGCUGUUGAAGCGGCCAAUAAGAAUAUUAAGAAGAUUAUUGGGAAAAUGACUGAGACAGAUAAAGACUGGCACGAGAAGCUACCAUUUACUUUGUAUGCAUAUCGCACAUCUGUGUAGACAUCUACGGGAGCAACUCCUUUCUCUCAGGUCUAUGGAAUGGAAGCUGUGCUACCCAUCGAAGUUGAGAUCCCCUCUCUACGAGUCUUAAUGGAAUCAAAACUAGAAGAAGCAGAAUGGGUUCGAGCUUGAUAUGACCAAUUAAACCUUAUUGAAGAAAAACGUCUGAAGGCAAUCUUCCAUGGACAGAUGUACCAGAAAAGAAUGAUCGCAGCCCAUGAUAAGAAAGUACGGCCAAGAGAAUUCCACGAAGGAGAACUCGUGCUGAGAAAGAUUCUCCCAAUACAAAAAGACUUCCGAGAAAAAUGGGCACCAAAUUGGGAAGGUCCAUCCAUCGUAAAGAAGGCAUUCUCGGGCGGAGCUUUGAUUCUCACCGAGAUGGAUGGGAAGGAGUUACCGAAUCCAGUGAACUCAGAUGCUGUAAAGAAAUAUUAUGCUUGAAAAAGAAAACCAAGAUGAAAACCCGAAAAGGACAUCUUUUAAAAAAAAGAGAAAAAGAAAAAAGAAAAAAAGAAAAAGAGGGAUCAAGGUGAAAACCCGAAAAUGGCGUCUUGAUUAAACACAAAAGAUUAGGAUGAAAACCCGAAAGGGCAUUCUAUUGAAGCAAACCCGGGCUUAAAGAACAAGGCGUUUCGAACGGUGGGUCAAACAACGAGACUACAGUAUUUGAAGCAUUUAUGAAAGCUCAAAAUCUUCUAUGCAAGAAGCCAUGCUCGAAAAGAUUCUAGAUGAAAGAACGUGGAAUAGUUCAUGUGUUGAAUAUCUAGAACAUUUGUAUCCGUUGAAUGCGAUCCCUUUUCUCUUUAUGACACUUUUUACUAUCAUUGAUUAACUUUCUUUGUUUGCUACAUUUGAAUUAAAUAAAUGUGGGGUAGCCUUUUUGCCCCUACCUAACCAUUUUCAUGCAUCUCAUUAUGUGUUUAUUUACAUGAUAAAUAGUGAAAUGACAUACUCUAAACAAAAGAAAUGUUAAGCAUUACCUGAAUAAAAAUUUGACAAAUACAAGAGCCUCAAAGCAAGGACAAAGUUCGACCAGGGACAAAAGAGUGAUAUCUGAGAAACACAGAUUAAUCGUGAAACUUGGAGACGGGUACAAAGCCUAAAGAGAAAGUCAAGAGUCAAAGCAACGAACGCAGAUCAAAAAAAAUCGUGAUGAAAAAGGGGCAUACGACAAACAUGCCUAAGGCGCAUUGCAUAAUCAUGUAGGUAUAAAGGCAUUUAAGACAAACAUGUGCAUAUCAUGAUAACAUCGUGCAUGACAUAUACAGGUACUCUAGCAGAGCAAGAAGAUAUGAUAAUAGCUGCACUGAAUCAAAGGAAAAGACGCCUGAGUUCUACCAAAUGACAGGUUUUGGUAUUUUGAUGUUUUAAUUCAUGCUUUCAAAAAUCAACUCAUAUUGCGAGAGGUGAGUUGAGCCUUUUAAUUUCUGCUUUUAAUUUAUACUUUCCAAAAAUCAACUCAUAUUGCGAGAGGUGAGUUGAGCCUCGGGGCACGCUGAGGUAUUUUCAAUUUCUGUUUUCAGUUUUUGUUUUUCAAAAAAUCAACUCAUAUUGCGAGAGGUGAGUUGAACCUUUUAAUUUCUGUUUUUUUUAAAAUCAACUCAUAUUGCGAAAGGUGAGUUGAGCCUCGGGGCACGCUGAGGUAUUUUCAACUUCUGUUUUCAGUUUCUGUUUUUCAAAAAAUCAACUCAUAUUGCGAGAGGUGAGUUGAACCUUUUAAUUUCUGUUUUUUAAAAAUCAACUCAUAUUGCGAGAGGUGAGUUGAGCCUCGGGGCACGCUGAGGUAUUUUCAAUUUCUAUUUUCAGUUUCUGUUUUUCAUAAAAUCAACUCAUAUUGCGAGAGGUGAGUUGAACUUUUUAUGUAACGCCCCAAUUUUCGGGAAUUCUGUGAAUGUUGGCAUAGGUUUAAUUAUGUUAGUGGGCCUCUAGAAGGCCCAAGCUUAAGAUAGAACCCAGCAAUUUUAGUUAAUUUUUGUUCCAUAAGAAAAAAAGGGGGUGAAAUUAUGAAAUAGGACCUAUGUGAAAAAUGUUUGAAAAUGAUAUAGGCUAAAUUGAAGUGGCCAAAUAAAUAGGAGUGCAAAAUAGGAGGAUUUGCAUGACAAACCUCCCAUUUUACAUGAAGUGGCCAGCCAUCAUGUUGCUGUAGACAAUAUGAGCACUUGAUAUCCAUAAUUCAUGGUACAAAUUGAUAAUGGGUUAGGUAAAUGUUCCAUGAUAAUGGGUUAGGUAAAUAUUCCAUGAUAAUGGGUUAGGUAAAUGUUCCAUGAUAAUGGUUUAGGUAAAUGUUCCAUGAUGGGCAUUUCAUGUCUUUUGUAUUAAAGAAUUAAAUGGAUGAAAUAUGAAAUUUUAUUAAAAGAAAAAGGGGUGAAAAGAACAAAGUUUUGUCCAUCUUUGUUCAUCAUAGCCGAAAGUUAGAGAAGAGAAAGGAGAGGAGAAAGCUUUUGAGUAUUCGGUCAUUAGGAGGAGGAAAAUUGAAGGUAAGUUCUUGGUACCUUGCUUCUAUCUUGAUGUUCAUGAGUUCUUCUUGAUUCUACCUUAACUCCUGAAGCAUAUUUUGGUUUUUAGUUGUGUUUUGAGCAUUUAGUCAUGAAUUAAAAUGAAGGAAAUGGUUGUUGUUUCAUGUUCUUUUGAUGAAAAAUAGAAGAUAGGUGAAGUUGAGCCAAACAAAUGAGCAUGCAUGUGCCUUAGAUGCUAAGGGGAAAAAUCGGCUAACAUGUUGUGCUUUAAAAUGAUGAAAUGGAGAUUAUACUUAAGUAAAAUCAUAGAUAUGUGAUGAUUGAUUGGUGAUAUACAUGUUUAAAUAACAAGCAUGCAAGUUAGGUGUGAAAGAGUGAUUUGGUAAUAAAUCUGCUUGGGACAGCAGCAGUAACGUGACUUUGGAAAAUCACCAUAAAUUGUGGGAGAUGAGUUAGAAGCUGCAUAAGUUAUGUAAUUAAAGCUUAAUGAGUCUAGUUUCAAAUAGAAUAAAUGAGAACAUAUUUUGAAUUCUGUACAAUGAGAAAUUUGAUUCGUAAUGAAGAGUGGUUAGAUUAGUCAAACAGUGAAACAUGGGAAACUUUAAGAAAAAUCUGGUAUUGAUUGGCGAAACCAAAAAUUCUGAAAAUUUUAUGGAUAGAAGAUAUAUGAGUCUAUUUUCAGGGAAAAUUAACGACACUUGAUUUGCAGUUUCAUAGCUCCAGUUAUAAAUGAUUUAGUGACUGUUGCUCAGGAAAACAGCUUGCAGUGAAAUUAUGAUUAUGUGGUAAACAUUGACAAAAAAUUGUUAAUGAGUUGCUUAUUGAUUUCUUAUAAGCUUACUAUGAUCUGUAGGUGUGGUUGGCCGAAUAUUGUAAGGGGUUAAUACGUAGUUUGUAUUUGAAUAGUUAGAUUAACGUGUUAGUAGUCCAAUUGUAGGCGGUUCGCGUGUGGAUCUCGUCAGCAUAUCGUCGCAAACAGGUGUGUAACUAACACCCUCUUUCUUAGUCUAGAUCGGCAAAAGUCGAAAUGUCGAAAUGCCGAAAAUUGGUAUUUUGUAGAUUUGUGAGUGUGCGAAUGCUCGAGAGGUAAAUCGAUUAAUGUUUUUGGUAAGCUGCAAUGUUUGGACUGCAAAGUGCAUGAUUUCUGUGCCCUCGAUAUUUUUGGGCUUAAUGGGCCAAAAUUGUAAUGAUGGGCCAACGGGCCCAAUUCGGUAAGAACCCUCGGUAGUGAUUCUGUUAGUACGUGAAAGGUAGGAAUAUGCAUGAAAAACCCUAAAAUAGAUAAAAUACUGAAAUACCUUUAAAAGUGGAAAAUUUACAGUUUUACCCCUAGGAGAUAAAUUAUCGAAAUACCCCUAGGGUUAAAUUGACCUAAAUGCAUGUUUGACUGUUGUUAUUUACUGCAUGCCAUGUUGUUAUUAUCUGAUGCAUGGGAUUGGGAUAUUGACGGAGGAAGUACUGAAAGUGGCUUGUCCAUGUAUUGGAGGCUUUGCUUCAAUUUACUGUUAACUGAGCAGCAAGGCUGCAACUGUGGAGUGUUGGGCUGGGUGGGUUGAGCUAUUCCUCACAUGGAGUGUAUAGCUGGUACGGGUGGAGUGUAGUGGUUGGUGGGUUGAGUAGUCUCCCCAAAUGGGCUUGCAUAUGUUUAUUGAUGUUGCAUGUAUUUUGAAAUGGGCCUAUGGGCCAUACUGUUAUCUUAAUAAGGGGCUAAGGCCCAGUUUAUUGUAAUCUGAAAAGGGCUCUGGCCCAGUACCACUAUUACCUGAAUGGGCUUAGACCCAAUGGGCUUGAGCUGACUUGGGCUUUGAAUGGGUUUUCCUUACACACUGAGUUUCCCCAAACUCACCCCUUCUUUAACCUUGCAGGUGAGCCUUGAUGUGGGUGACUUGGAGCCGGAAGGGAUUCAAAGUGGCCAUGGUGAAUACUUUUGGGUUGGAAAAAGAGACUGGUUUUCUUAAGUUAUUUUUAAUUACUAUUUAAUUUUUGGGUUGUAAUAAGGCCAUUUUAACUUUAUUUUCUUCUUUGAUUUUCUGGGAUUAUAUUAUUUUAAACAACUUUAAAUUGAUGGAUACUAAUUCAAAUGGGCUAGACUUAGGGCGUGAUUUCAAAACGAUACUUGUUUUUUUUAAAUAACACGACGUCACGAAUAUUCGAUUUACCAAAGAUAAUCACUCAAAGAAAUUUCAACUUGUUAUAACCAAGUGUGGCAAUGGAUGUGGGCAUGUCUAGGAUUGGAUCCAAUCAGAGAGCUUGGUACUUAAGCAGCCUUCAUGGCUCACAUCCUCUGUUAUGGAUACCUACCUGGUGUCCAGCUUCCAUUCACUUAGUUAGUUUGACAAAAGUCGGCUUUUUAAAACACUAAAAAGGGAACGCGGGUUUUUGACUUCAAAGUGGCACGUCGGAUUCGGCCUUAACGUCUGGGCUGGGUUUGGGGUGCUACAUUUUAAUUUCUAUUUUUUAAAAAUCAACUCAUAUUGUGAGAGGUGAGUUGAGCCUCGGGCAUGCUGAGGUAUUUUCAAUUCCUGUUUUCAGUUUCUGUUUUUUUAAAAAAUCAACUCAUAUUGCGAGAGGUGAGUUGAACCUUUUAAUUUCUGUUUUUCAAAAAUCAACUCAUAUUGCGAGAGGUGAGUUGAGCCUUGGCCAUGCUGAGGUAUUUCCAAUUUCUGUUUUAAUUCAUGUUUUCAAAAAUCAACUCAUAUUGCGAGAGGUGAGUUGAGCCUUUUAAUUUCUGUUUUUCAAAAAAAUCAACUCAUAUUGCGAGAGGUGAGUUGAGCCUUUUAAUUUCUAUUUUUCAAAAUCUACUUUUCAAACUAAGUUUCAAAAAGACCAAUUCAUAUUGCGAGAGGUGAGUUGAGCGUGGGCUCACGUGAUGAGCUAUUUUCAGUUUCUGUUUUUUAGUUUAUGUUAUUUAAAGAGUCAAUACAUAUUGUGAGAAAUGAGUUGAGCUCAAGAUCAUAUGCCGAGUAAAGAAUAAAGAUUGAAGCCGGUGGAAGACGUCAGAUUAAGACUCCCUGAAGUUGCAGUGGAGCAGGUCAAAGUUGCAAGUCUUGUUUCUCUGAAGUUGCAGUGGAGCUGAUCAAGGGUAUCGGAUCUUGCCUUUCCAAAGUUAUAGAAGAGAAGACCACAAACCUCAUCUCACUGAAGUGAUAGAAGAGCAGAUUGAAGCUGUAAAUCUUAUCUUUAUGAAGUUACAAUGAAGCAGAUCAAAGCCACAAAUCUCAUAUUCUUGAAGUUACAUUGAAGUAGAUUGAAGCUACAAGGCAUAUAUCAGAAGAUGCAAUGGACCAAAGCCACAAGACACGAUGGACUGGAAGGAGACUACCUGAACAAGAAGAGCACCAAAGAAGUCAAGACUCAGCAAGAUCAGGAAAAAUUGGCCUUUCAUUAUGUCUUUGCUAUAUUCUCGUUACACGACAAUAAGCAAAGAGGGACAGCUGUUACAGACCAAUUUUACCCACAAGCCCAAUUGAACUCACAACCCAAUACAUUACCUAAAUCCCUUAACCUAUUCCUAAAUACUAACCCAAACCCCAAAUACAUUUUAAACCCAUCAGCCCGCUUAUAUCAAACCCAAUACAAUAAACCCAAAACCCAAUAACCCUUAGCCCAAUCAGAAAAGAACAAACCCUAGCUCCCACUUGCCCCCUCACUCAGCGCCGUAACUACCCUCCCCACCUUCUGACACUACGUCACCGACGUCAGCCCACCGGCCACCAACUCUGCAGCACCGUUCAACCACCCUGCAAGCAGAACGACAAGACAUAAAUUAUAAAGAAACUUUACAGAGGGUUAUAAAAAAACCGAAUGAAAAUUGUAAUAGGGGGAAUUUUGCUAUCAAUACAAAAAGGGGAUUUUUUGUUUUCAUCAAUACUAGCAGAUUAAAACCAAAAACAGUGGUCUCAAUAAGAUAAAAGUAAGAAAAUAGCAUUGAGCACAAACCCAAAAUCUCAGAAAACUGAAACUGAAAGCUAAAGGUAACUUCUUUUCUUUUUUUCUUUUUAGCCGAAUCCUCCAUCUAUAUUCGUAUACACAUAAAUAUAUAAUAAAUAAGAAAGGAACACUUCUUAAAAAGGUAAAAAAGGGGAAGUUUUCAUACCUCCGACCACCGUGCAUGGCGGUCGCCGGCGACGGAAGCGCGAUGGGGCGAUGACCGGACUAGGACCGGCGCUGGAGCCCCAAUAGAGAAAAAAAUGAGCUCCAUUUUCUUUUUUUUUCUUCAAC